Corvus hawaiiensis (hawaiian crow) is the source of this 2415-nucleotide long non-coding RNA. RefSeq lists it as uncharacterized. The transcript has 6 exons. Lineage: Eukaryota; Metazoa; Chordata; Aves; Passeriformes; Corvidae. The record is from RefSeq and is a predicted model, not a curated record.
GGUCCCGGGGGUCCCGGGCAUGUGCCCGCUGUGUGCCCGCGCCCGGCAGCGCUGGGGCGGGAGAGGGGCGAGGGUGGUCGUGCACGAGGUGCGGUGGGUGCCCGCUGCCCCGACGUGUCCCGGUGGGACCGGCCGUCCCUGUGACACCGUGGAGGUGACCGGCUAAUUUCCGGCCUCAGAUGCCAUCACCGAAUCUGUAAUUCAAAGGCUUGGGUAAAGAUGACAGGAACAGUACAGAGAGCAGUGCGGACCCUGUGAAGGCACCUGAAAGUGAACUUUAAAGAUCAAGACUAGGUUUUCAGGAAGAGGAGGAUGGAGCACAUAUUCCAGAUCUGAAUAAUAGGAAGGAAAUCUUGUUAAGGGCCUGGGUUAUUUGAUAAUAACCAUGUGAGGCUGCUUCGGCAGAGCUGUAAUACUACAAAAUAUUAGAGAAGAUCCUCGAGAGAUGGAUUAGCAGUCAAAGCUGCAUGAUGAAGACAAGGACCAGGAAGAUGAAAAACACGCUCAAGUCUUGCUGAGAUGGUCAUCACAUGAUUUUUUUUUUCUGCCCUGCAUGCCCAAUCUUGGAUUUCUAUUCUCCUAAAUUUAAAAUCCUUCUUUGAAAAAUCAGACCAGAGAGAGAACAAGUCAUGCAACUAGAACCUAGGUCUGAGACAUGGCUGGUCAUUCUGUGGCUUUUGGCAGUGUGGUAAACAACCAUCAGAGCACAACUUCUCCCAGCCGCUGUGUCAGGCUCGCAGCAGUGAGGGCACACCUGGCCACACUCAGCUAUCUUGGUUCCUCAGGUGUGUGCCACAGAGAGACAGCAGCAAUCCCUUCUGGAAAUGGCUUGGGAAUACCAUGGAGGAAGCAGGAGCAUUGGUGAGAUUUUGAAGAUGGAAGAGUGAAAGAUGAGGUGCUAAAUCUGAGACUGUGGCUGCUAAAAUGAGCUGCUGAACAUCAGAGAGCAGGAAUUACUGCAUUUCCUAAGAGUGCUGCAGAACCUCUGAGCCUUUUAUUUCUAGUAAUAGAAAAGAAAUCCAUGUGUGUCUCAACAUGUGGAUGGAAUUUUGUUUAUUUGAGGAAAAGAAGCGUUAAAAUAACAGUUUUUGAAAGCAACAGCUUUUCAUAGAGGCAAAAAUAUAUUUUAUGUAUAUAUAAAAUAUGCAUCCUAUGCUCUGUGUUUAUCUGGUUUGCCCAUCCCAGAUCCCUUGAGUGGAUAAUGCUGCACCCUCAGCUCCCACAGCCUCCACCCUCAGCUCCUACACCUCCAUCCUGGCCUCUGUGCUGUACAUUAGUUCAAAUGAUUUUUGAAAUAAUUUCAAAUUAUUUCAAAGGAGCCCAGCUGGGUGCUGGACUGUGAUUUCUCAUGCAGCCCAGAUCAGAUCCAUUAGUUUUCUUGAAGGUUAGGACCAAGACCAUAGAAGUGGAUGGGGAGCGAAUAGACAGACUGGUGUUCCUGCUGUGUUCUCAGAGGCUUAAACCAGGGAGAAAAUAGUCAGGCACAUCCAUAUUGUUUUUGCACUUUGCUUCAUGAUUUGCAGUAGUCUCAUUCAUAAAUGACAAAGAAACAGCUCCCCGCUGUGAGGUCCUCAUACCACAGAGAGCUGUAAUGAGUUCGCAAUGCGAUGGAGAUAAGGAAGAUUUUUAGUGAUUACUCAGACAAAUCUCUGAGUGCAAAUCAGAGAUGUGCUGAGGGAAGGGGAUAUCUUUCCAUCACUCUCCAUGGCCUAAACAUCUGAGGAUACUUAAGGUAUUCUCAUGGUAUUAUAUAAUAAGAACUCUCUAAGACAAAAAUGUCCUAAAUGCAUCUUUAUGGAUUUUUUUCCCUUCACUGUAUGUCAGAAACUUUUGUAAUUUGACAGCCACUAGCAGUGAUUAAUGGCUAGCAAUACAGCUAGAGGCAAUGUAUGUUUCAAAGUCAGUAUCAGGAAAGACUCUGUGAUCUGGGAAGUCUUUGGCUGAGGAACUCUCUCCUUGCAAAAUCAAAACCAAGUAUUUUGCCUAUGUGCUCAUUGAAGAUAUCCAAAUAAAUAGUUGGAAUAUAAAUGAAGAUGAGAGUGAAAAACAGGAGAAUAUUUACCUUGCAGUGUGGUGCUAAACUGAGAUUUUGUUUCUGUUUUGGUCUUUUAUGAUAGCUACAGUGUAUUUAUAUUUUUCAUAGGUAUGUAUAUAUAUUUGUGGAAGUGUAUACAUGUAAAUGCUCCAAAAAGAAAUUUUUUAUUUUCAUUUUCUUAGAAGCAUCAGGUGUUUUCUGUGUUGAAUCUUAACAGAGGUAAUAUAUAUCCAGAUAUUAAAGUAAAAAUAAAGAAAUAAAUAUUUCCAAAGAUGACUCCUGUACCUCAUUUACUGCUCUUUUCAAAAUGUGUGGUUAUGAGUAAACCAUUGACUUCCACAAGUAUAUGCUCUGAAGGAUUUCAGAUACAAAAAAAUUAA